RNAcentral lists this ribosomal RNA (104 nucleotides) under uncultured bacterium. Its description in RNAcentral is "partial 16S ribosomal RNA". It matches the Rfam family "Bacterial small subunit ribosomal RNA", at positions 1384 to 1482 of the family's 1533-position model. The record is from RNAcentral.
UACACACCGCCCGUCACACCAUGGGAGUUGGUUCGACCUUAAGUCGGUGCGUGAACCCAGCAAUGGGGCAUAGCCGACCACGGUCGGGGUUAGCGACUGGGGUG